UACAGAGGGUGCAAGCGUUGUUCGGAAUUACUGGGCGUAAAGCGAGUGUAGGCGGCCUAUUAAGUCAGAUGUGAAAUCCCUUGGCUCAACCGAGGAACUGCAUCUGAUACUGGUGGGCUUGAGUGUCGGAGGGGAUGGUAGAAUUCCUGGUGUAGAGGUGAAAUUCGUAGAUAUCAGGAGGAAUACCUGUGGCGAAGGCGACCAUCUGGAAGACAACUGACGCUGAGACUCGAAAGCGUGGGGAGCGAACAGG
RNAcentral lists this ribosomal RNA (253 nucleotides) under uncultured bacterium. Its description in RNAcentral is "partial 16S ribosomal RNA". It matches the Rfam family "Bacterial small subunit ribosomal RNA", at positions 524 to 776 of the family's 1533-position model. The record is from RNAcentral.